Molecule: unclassified non-coding RNA, 281 nt
Filed under: Hevea brasiliensis (rubber tree)
Lineage: Eukaryota; Viridiplantae; Streptophyta; Magnoliopsida; Malpighiales; Euphorbiaceae
Source: RNAcentral
UAAUGCUCUAAAUGAAUCAUGGCUGCUUUUUUGUUUUAACUAAUCAAGAGAGCAUCAGUUAUCCACAUUAUAAGCCCUUAAAUAAUCUAUUUUCUUCUCUUUGGAUAAUCAUGAGAGCGCUAUGUUACAACAAUUUGUAACUCACACAACUAGCAAACGAUAACAUCUUAUUGUCAUAUUGAUAGUUGUGCUGGUACCUUUAUGAAGCUUGCUUUAGGGUAAAUUACAUCCAAUUCCUUGAGGUUUUCCUUUCGAGUAUAGAGGACAUGGACCACCCUCAA